CCCUCAACCACCCCACACACACACGCAUAAUGUGUGUUCUUUGACUGAUAAUUUGUAUUUGCUUAGUCUAUUUGAAAGACAAACCAGACCCAUCUCCAUUGAAUCCAUAUAACCGCAUCUUGGGCUCCUUUCGUCGCACCAUCCUCCAUUAUCUCCACUUCUCAUUCUCUCGCGAGUAUAACUCCGGUAAACCUCACUAAAUGCAAGCCAGACCCAUAGACGCUUGCCACCACUUCUGGUCCAAUUAACGACUUCUUUUUUAAGAAUUCAGACAAAUUCAUAACAAGCAUGAGGUAUAAGAAGACUUGCCGAGCAUACCUUAAAUGGUGUCUUGUUCAACAUCAUCCAUUAAAGAAAGUUAAUAGCAUGUCGUGUUCUUGAGAUUUAACAUGUAAGUUUUGAAAAGUUCAAUUUUAUAAUGUUUUUUUAUAUGGAUUAUUGGAUUUUAAUAAUCCUAAGUUUCAUCUAUUGGUCGAUAAUAAUCCCAAUUUUAAAAAUUCCUUCCAACGAUCCCAACUUGUAAGAAUUUGGCCCUCAUUGAUUCUUUUCUAACAUAGGUGCACUUAAAUCAAUUAAGGAGUCUCCAGAUGUACUUGAAUCUAUGGAGUAGACCAAAUUCUUAUAUGUUUGAAAAGGAUCAAUGGGGGCCAAACCUUUACAAGUUGGGAUCAUUGGAGGGUAUUUUUAAAGUUCGGAUUAUUAUCGACCAACAGGUGAAACUUAAGAUUAUUAAAAUUCAAUAACCAUUUUUAUAUUAAUACUUCUACACCUACUGAUGUGUAAAAUGUUUGAAUAAAUUUGAAAACAGGAAAUUAAAUGGUCAGACUAACUCAAUUACACACAAUCUGCAAGUGUAUCGGUCGUGAUAUAAUAAAGUCGGUAAGACCGAGUAUCAAUCCAAGGACAUAAUGGCGCGUCUCUCGAUACUAAACCGAUAUCGAGUCAUAGUCUAGUAAUAUUUAGUGGAUGUUUGGAUUUCUAUUAACUAGAGCAAGUACGAAUGCAAUUACGAAAGCAUAGCAAGCAGACAGCGAAUAUAGGUGAAAUCAGGUGCUGAGAAAGUAGCUACCUUGACAAGAAUUAUGUUAGCUCGUUACAGCUCUCAGGAUUGGAUAAUUAGAUUUGGCUAUCAGAAUCUUAAAAUACAAUAAUCUAGACCUAAGACUGGAUCGUAGAUCACUCUCCAAACAUGACACAAUCUAGUAUCUAGGGAAGUGUGUAAAAUCACUUGUCUAGGGUUCAUAUCACCUCUCAGUCUCUCUAAACGAAUUAUAAGUAUCCUAAAUUUGGAUAUCCUCUUGUUACCACCAGAAAAGUACAUCAAGGAAGUAUAAGAGAUGUAACGGGUAGUGAAUUUAACAGGUUUCUAACACAGGAUAACAAGGAUGCUAAAGUUCACUACUUUGGAAACAUCACAUGUAUUAUGCUCUGAUAACCUUGUAAAAAUGCUUAUGACAAUGUAAUGCGUGUUGCAUCUCACUAGUUUUUCUUUACACAUUUAUACUUAGAUCCAUAAAAGUUCGGAUUUUUCUAUAGUAUAGCUGACGUUUAUACCAAGGUUUGGGAACAAGAAGGUAAUACUUGCUUACCAUACGCAGCUGUAAGUAUGAUGACCAUGUUGUACAAGUUCAAAGAAGAUGAUGACACAAUUGAAUUGUCCCCCCAGUCUAUGUUCUUCGGUGACAUGACAUUUUUAUCAACCUUAGAGAGCAUCUUACGCAAAA
Molecule: long non-coding RNA, 1724 nt
Organism: Helianthus annuus (common sunflower)
Lineage: Eukaryota; Viridiplantae; Streptophyta; Magnoliopsida; Asterales; Asteraceae
Exons: 2
Source: RefSeq, a predicted model, not a curated record